GAUUGAGACCAUCCUGGCUAACACGGUGAAACCCCGUCUCUACUAAAAAUACAAAAAAAUUAGCCGGGCGUGGCGGCGGGCGCCUGUAGUCCCAGCUACUUGGGAGGCUGAGGCAGGAGAAUGGUGCGAACCCGGGAGGCAGAUUUUGCAGAGAGCCGAGAUCGUGCCACUGCACUCCAGCCUGGGCGACAGAGCAAGACUCCGUCUCAAAACAAAAAACAAACAAACAAAUAUGGAGCAUUCUGAUAUGAAUAAGACACUUGCUCACUUCUCAAUUCCUUGGUGUCCAGCUCUACAAGUGUAUAUAGACUUCCAAAGAAUAUUUAAAUCCUUUAACAAAAAUGCCACCUAAGAAAAUAUGAAAUACUUCAGUCUGUCUGUCAGUGCUCACUUCCUGUCUAGAAACUUUCAGGCUCCGGCACAAAUGAACCAUGUUCUUCGCCUAAGUCAUUUAUGGAACAUCUGCUUUCGGUUUAGCAUCAGCUUUGUGACCUAGUAAUAUCUUUCUCGAGUGCAUGAAACAUCUCAGAAAUGCAAACAUCAAGGAAGAUACUAAUCCUUUCUUCCAGUUUCUGUGUGAGGGUUGGAGGCUGACUUUGGUGGUGAUCUUGCUCCAAAUUAUAGAACUACAUCCUGUCAUGAAGAGAAGUUUGUCUUCUCGAUAAAGCCAAGUAGCUAACAGAGAUGGUCACCCCAAUUACCAGAUGGACAUAAUUAUACUUGAAUGCUGACCUACAACAUUUUGUGCUGUGCAGAGGCUUUGAAAAUCAAACAACUUUGAAAAUACAAAGCACCGCGUGGAUGAUGCUGGAUGCGUAGUUUGACCAAUUAUGGCUCUUGAUGUCGACUGAAGUGGUCACUUGAUUCCUAUUAGCGGCCUCACUCUGUCGCUCAGGCUGGAGUGGCACGAUCUUGGCUCACUGCAGUCUCUGCCUCCUCCUCUUGGAUGCAAGCAAUUCGGCCUCCAAGUAGCUGAGAUUACAGGUGCGUGCCACCACACUCUGCUAAUUUCUGCAUUUUUAGUAGAGAUGGGGUUUCACCAUGUUGGCCAGACUGGUCUCCAACUCCUGGCCUCAAGUGAUCCACUUGCCUCAGCCACCCAAAGUUCUGGAUUACAGGCGUGAGCCAUUGCGCCUGGCCUAGUAAACAUAUUUUUUUUAAAUAAAAAUGUUAUUUUAUCAUUUACAUAAGAUCAAAAACAUGUCUAUUGGAUUCCACCGCCCAGAUCCUUACACUGUACAUUCUAUUUUGCCUCAAAUUUGACUCUCUUCACUUGCUUUUAAGCUCUGGAUGAGUUUGAUUCCAACUAGUUCAAAAGAAAAAUGGAGCAUCCCAAAAGAACAUAAAACUAAUAAAAAUCAACUUGUUUAUGAAUCUAAAAUGAUAAAAAGCAAUACAUUUAAAA
RNAcentral lists this long non-coding RNA (1405 nucleotides) under Homo sapiens (human). RNAcentral's name for it is "HSALNT0312837". The record is from RNAcentral. Lineage: Eukaryota; Metazoa; Chordata; Mammalia; Primates; Hominidae.